UACAGAGGUCUCAAGCGUUGUUCGGAUUUACUGGGCGUAAAGCGCACGUAGGCGGGUUGUUAAGUCAGGGGUGAAAUCCUGGAGCUCAACUCCAGAACUGCCUUUGAUACUGGCAACCUAGAGGCUGGAAGAGGUUAGUGGAAUUCCCAGUGUAGAGGUGAAAUUCGUAGAUAUUGGGAAGAACACCAGUGGCGAAGGCGGCUAACUGGUCCAGAUCUGACGCUGAGGUGCGAAAGCGUGGGGAGCAAACAGG
RNAcentral lists this ribosomal RNA (253 nucleotides) under uncultured bacterium. RNAcentral's name for it is "partial 16S ribosomal RNA". It matches the Rfam family "Bacterial small subunit ribosomal RNA", at positions 524 to 776 of the family's 1533-position model. The record is from RNAcentral.